Molecule: long non-coding RNA, 828 nt
Filed under: Salmo salar (Atlantic salmon)
Lineage: Eukaryota; Metazoa; Chordata; Actinopteri; Salmoniformes; Salmonidae
Description: lncRNA (ENSSSAG00000101556.1)
Source: RNAcentral
GUAAGGCCCCCGUGUUUACCCCAGGGGACAGGGUUCUCAACCCGGAACCUGCCCCUCCGCCUGCCCUGCCGGAACUUGGGUCUGUGAUUUGUGGGGCCGUUUAAAGUCCUGAGGAGAAUAAACAAGGCCGGUGGUAGCUGGUCCACUGCAGGACGCUGAGGUGCGGGAGAUCCCUCCGCCCCCCCCUGGACAUCGGGGGGUCCCCGGCGUACACAGUCCGGUCCAUCUUGGACUCCAGGCGUCGGGUAGGGGGCCUGCAGUACCUCGUGGACUGGGAGGGGUACGGUCCGGAGGAGAGGUGCUGGGUACCAGUGGAGGACAUCUUGGAUCCAUCACUGUUGCGGGAAUUCCACAGCCUCCAUCUGGAUUGCCCUGCGCCUCGCCCUCCGGGUCGUCCUCGAGGCCGGCGUCGGCGCGCUGCGGGAGCUGCGCAUCAGGGGAGGGGGGGUACUGUCACAACGUCCACAGAAGGUGGUGCCUCUCCCCGUUCUGGCGGCGCUCGGCGGUCGUCGUCGCCGGCCUACUAGCUGCCACCGAUCUCCUUUUCUUUUUCAUUUGGUGAUGUCUGUUUUUGUUAGCACCUGUUUUGAGUUAGUUCAUUUGUGAGGGUAUUUAGUCUGUCUGUUUUGGUUUGGGAUUGUGCGGGAUUGUUUCGUGUCAUUUUAUUGGAUGUUGGGGAUUUGAUUUUCCUCUGCCGUUUCGUAUUAGGUAUUAGGGUUUGCUGGGCUGCGUCCCGACUCGAUUUAGGGCUGUUACCUAUCGUUUGAGUUCUGUACCCUGCCUUGUUUUUUCGGCACUUUGGACUGUAUUCAUUAAAACGUGUUUUCC